AUUGAACGCUGGCGGCAGGCCUAACACAUGCCAGUCGAGCGGAUGAAGGGAGCUUGCUCCUGGAUUCAGCGGCGGACGGGUGAGUAAUGCCUAGGAAUCUGCCUGGUAGUGGGGGAUAACGUCCGGAAACGGGCGCUAAUACCGCAUACGUCCUGAGGGAGAAAGUGGGGGAUCUUCGGACCUCACGCUAUCAGAUGAGCCUAGGUCGGAUUAGCUAGUUGGUGGGGUAAAGGCCUACCAAGGCGACGAUCCGUAACUGGUCUGAGAGGAUGAUCAGUCACACUGGAACUGAGACACGGUCCAGACUCCUACGGGAGGCAGCAGUGGGGAAUAUUGGACAAUGGGCGAAAGCCUGAUCCAGCCAUGCCGCGUGUGUGAAGAAGGUCUUCGGAUUGUAAAGCACUUUAAGUUGGGAGGAAGGGCAGUGAGUUAAUACCUUGCUGUUUUGACGUUACCAACAGAAUAAGCACCGGCUAACUUCGUG
RNAcentral lists this ribosomal RNA (484 nucleotides) under uncultured bacterium. RNAcentral's name for it is "partial 16S ribosomal RNA". It matches the Rfam family "Bacterial small subunit ribosomal RNA", at positions 30 to 507 of the family's 1533-position model. The record is from RNAcentral.